CAGCCGCCGCGGUAAUACCAGCUCCUCGAGUGGUCGGGGCGAUUAUUGGGCCUAAAGCAUCCGUAGCUUGUUCCGUAGGUUUCCUGCUAAAUCCAACCGCUCAACGGUUGGCCCGCGGGAAAUACCGCGGGACUAGGAGGCGGGAGAGGUGGACGGUACUCCACGUGUAGGGGUAAAAUCCUUUGAUCCGUGGAAGACCACCAGUGGCGAAGGCGGUCCACCAGAACGCGCUCGACGGUGAGGGAUGAAAGCUGGGGGAGCGAACCGGAUUAGAUACCCGGGUAGUCCCAGCCGUAAACGAUGCGAGCUAGAUGAUCCGGUCGCAAAUCGCGAUCGGAGUGUCGCAGGGAAGCCGUUAAGCUCGCCGCCUGGGGAGUACGGUCGCAAGGCUGAAACUUAAAGGAAUUGGCGGGGGAGCACA
RNAcentral lists this ribosomal RNA (421 nucleotides) under uncultured archaeon. Its description in RNAcentral is "bacterial SSU rRNA". It matches the Rfam family "Archaeal small subunit ribosomal RNA", at positions 459 to 880 of the family's 1478-position model. The record is from RNAcentral.